This 433-nucleotide ribosomal RNA is filed under the name uncultured bacterium. RNAcentral describes it as "partial 16S ribosomal RNA". It matches the Rfam family "Bacterial small subunit ribosomal RNA", at positions 29 to 507 of the family's 1533-position model. The record is from RNAcentral.
AACGAACGCUGGCGGCAUGCCUAACACAUGCAAGUCGAACGAAACCUUCGGGUCUAGUGGCGCACGGGUGCGUAACGCGUGGAAACCUGCCCUUAGGUUCGGAAUAACUCCCCGAAAGGGGUGCUAAUACCGGAUAAUGUCUUCGGACCAAAGAUUUAUCGCCUUUGGAUGGGCCCGCGUUGGAUUAGCUAGUUGGUAGGGUAAAAGCCUACCAAGGCGACGAUCCAUAGCUGGUCUGAGAGGAUGAUCAGCCACACUGGGACUGAGACACGGCCCAGACUCCUACGGGAGGCAGCAGUGGGGAAUAUUGGACAAUGGGCGAAAGCCUGAUCCAGCAAUGCCGCGUGAGUGAUGAAGGCCUUAGGGUUGUAAAGCUCUUUUACCCGGGAUGAUAAUGACAGUACCGGGAGAAUAAGCUCCGGCUAACUCCGUG